This 211-nucleotide ribosomal RNA is filed under the name uncultured eukaryote. RNAcentral describes it as "partial 18S ribosomal RNA". It matches the Rfam family "Eukaryotic small subunit ribosomal RNA", at positions 1299 to 1458 of the family's 1831-position model. The record is from RNAcentral.
UGGUGGAGUGAUUUGUCUGGUUAAUUCCGAUAACGAACGAGACCUUAACCUGCUAAAUAGUCACUGGAAACUGCUGCAAAAGCGUUCGUCACGUCGGCGAGCUGAGGGGCAACCCGAGGCGCAAUGGUGUGGCGGGCGUGGUUGUUUCCGAGGAUGCACUUCUUAGAGGGACUUUCAGCUCUGAAGCUGAAGGAAGUUUGAGGCAAUAACA